RNAcentral lists this non-coding RNA (843 nucleotides) under Hymenochirus sp. BJE-2004. RNAcentral describes it as "partial 12S ribosomal RNA". It matches the Rfam family "Bacterial small subunit ribosomal RNA", at positions 314 to 1522 of the family's 1533-position model. The record is from RNAcentral. Lineage: Eukaryota; Metazoa; Chordata; Amphibia; Anura; Pipidae.
UGGUAUCAGGCACCACUACAAUUGAGCCCACGACACCUUGCUUUGCCACACCCCCACGGGAACUCAGCAGUGAUAAACAUUGAAAAUAAGCGACAAAAGCUUGACUCAGUUACAGCAACCAGAGUCGGUUAAUCUCGUGCCAGCCACCGCGGUUAUACGAGAGACUCAAAUUGAUAUCCAACGGCGUAAAGCGUGAUUAAAGAACCUUCAAUAAUUAAAGUUAAACUACAGCCAAGCUGUCGCACGCUACCGCUGUUCGGAACACCUAUCACGAAAGUAACUUUAACCAACCCACUUGAACUCACGACCGCUAGGAAACAAACUGGGAUUAGAUACCCCACUAUGCCUAGCCUUAAACUUUGCCAAUUACACCAAACUCCCGCCAGGGUACUACGAGCAUUAGCUUAAAACCCAAAGGACUUGGCGGUGCCCCAAACCCACCUAGAGGAGCCUGUUCUAUAAUCGAUAACCCCCGCUUAACCUCACCACUUCUUGCCCAACCCGCCUAUAUACCACCGUCGCCAGCCCACCCCGUGAGGGCAAUCAAGUAGGCAUAAUUACCAAGCGUAAAAACGUCAGGUCAAGGUGUAGCACAUGAAGUGGAAAGAAAUGGGCUACAUUUUCUAACAUAGAAUACAACGAAAGACUACUAUGAAAACUACUCAGAAGGAGGAUUUAGCAGUAAAGAGAAACAAGAGUGUUCUUUUUAAAAAGGCCCUGGGGCGCGCACACACCGCCCGUCACCCUCAUCAAAUGAUAAGUAAACAUUAAAUAAAUCAACAUAUCAACCCCAAGAAGAGGCAAGUCGUAACAUGGUAAGUACACCGGAAGGUUUGCUUGGAA